Molecule: long non-coding RNA, 1647 nt
Organism: Neofelis nebulosa (Clouded leopard)
Lineage: Eukaryota; Metazoa; Chordata; Mammalia; Carnivora; Felidae
Exons: 3
Source: RefSeq, a predicted model, not a curated record
GCGCCGGAGGCGGGGCUGGGGCCCGCGGCGCCAGGCGAUUGGCCGGCGCCCCGCGCGGAGCCGCUCCCCCGCCCUUACCGCCCGGCGGGCGCUUCCUGGACUCGGCUCCGGUGGCUGCCGGCGCGCCGGCGGGGAUGGAGAGUGAGGGGGCCGGGGGCCGGCGGCGGCCCCCUCUGUCUGGGGGAGGUCCGUUCUGCCCCCACCCGCGGCGCUGGGAAGUGUGUGCUCCACCUGCCAGUUGGGCCCGAGGGGACGCGGAGCCGGGCCCGCGUGCAACCGCGUGCCCUCAGCCCCGCGAGCGCAGGGUCCGAAGUCUGGGGGCGCCGGCGCGCUGAGGGGAGCGAGACUCGACGCGCUUGCACACGAAGGCCCAAGCCCCACCCUGAUGGCCCUCCAGCUGUUUCCAGAAGGCUCUCCCUGAAACACAAAUUGAGUAGAAACAAUCCUGCCGGGAUUUUAACUGGGAUUACAUAUGCCUAUAAGGGUUUGGGGGAGCAGGGAGAGGAAUGUGUAUCUUCAUAGAGUUUGGACAGCCCAUCGAGAGGUCUGAGGGGGUUUCUUUUUUCAUUUAUUUGGCUUAAAAAAAGGCUCCCAACAGAUUUUGUUUCCUUAAUUUUAUAUUAGUGAGUGAAAUAUUAAAGAGAAAUGCACACAAUCGUCGUAUUUCUCCUUAAUGAUUCACUCAUUUAUAUAAUGCUUUGUUGAUACUGGGGAUAAAUUGCCAGUUUUUUUCUUAUAUUUUCAAACAGGUCAUUGAUGAUAUAAUUGGUACUUAAUUCUAUAUAUCUUAUUUUAUAUCUAAGCACUUAACUGAUCUUUUUAAAAUACUCUUUAAUAGGGGUGCCUGGUGGGGGUGCUCAGGUCAUGAUCAUGGUCUGUGAGUUUGAGCCCCACGUGGGGCUCUGUGCUGACCGCUCAGAGCCUGGAGCCUGUUUCAGAUUCUGUGUCUCCCUCUCUCUCUCUGCCCCUCCCCCGUUCAUGCUCUGUCUCUCUCUCUCUCUCUCUCUCUCUCUCUCAAAUAAACAUUAAAAUUUAUUUUGCAAUACUCUAAUAAUUUUUCAGUUGGUUGCUUUGUUAACCAAAAUAAUACUUUCCCUCUUCCUUUCUAAUUUGUAUCCUUUUUAUGUCUUACAACUUGUAGCCAGAUUUGUCCAAGCCAAAUUAAAUAAUAUUGACCAUAUCUGACACUGGACUAAUUUCUGACAAAUGCUGAUUUCUUGGGAAUAAACACUUUUUUAAAACAAUAAUGCCAAGGAAAUAACUUUUAUGUGUCUACGUAGUGUUCAUGAGAAACGGCUGUCGAAUGUACGUCUGUGUUUUCUGCAUCUGUCAAGACCCCACUAAGAUCCCCUUCAUCUGAUCUGUAGUCAUACGAUAGCAGAUGAGUAGGCUUACUGACACUGCCUUUUUCUUUUCACCUUUAUCUACCCGACCUAGCCCAGUUCAUCAUCGGUGUCAAGUUGGCUUGCAUUAAAUGAUUGUAAACACCGUCCGGCCGUGGCACAUGCUCCCUUCUGUGCUGAGCCGGGUGGCUCUCUUGGGCCAGAGGAUGCUUACCCCACCGAGAGAGAGCACGGGCAGAGGAGUCUUGGCCGGCCGUGCCCACCGUGGUCCUGUCUUACCCACGUUGGCUCUCUUCUCUCCCCU